UCCUGGAUUCAAGUGAUUCUUCUGCCUCAGCCUCCUGAGUAGCUGGGACUACAGGAAAGGAAACAAGUGGGAGAAGAUGCCAGGAUAACACAGCUGGAAGUGACAGUGCUGUGUUGGAACCAGGCCUAUCGGACUCUAAGAUCCAGCCUCGACCACUCCCUGAUACACUACAUGGCUUCGUUGUACUUACUUGGCAGAGGUAUGGGUUUUUGGUGGAGUUGUCUGCAAGGAAGAAUUUCAGAUAAUUAAAGGACAAAGCACAAUAUGAGUAAGUUUGACUUUUUGUUUACACUGAUGAUGCUGUGAACAGGCACAUCACAAAUAAAUCAAUACAAAUGGCCAAUAAAAUAUAUCUAAAGAUAGAAGAGGCACCAGAACCUUAAAGAUAAGUAAGACUCUUAGUUUUGAAAAAGGAGGAAAUAAUGACUAAAGUAUUGUAUUUUAGUUAAGUUCAAUAAUUAACCCAAUUAGUAGGUCUCUGCAACUCUAUACAGUUAUUUUAAAGUUGCUUAACACCUUUUAACAUGUAAUUGCAAAACAAUGAAAUGUUGGAUUUUUACCUAGCAUGACAAGUCAGUGUCACUGUGCAGUGAAACAAUGCACAUGUUAAUUCCUGCAGCAACAAGAGGAAACCGAUUUUUAAAGGAAAGCAUUCUUACUUCUGGGCGGGAGGAAACACUGGUGACUGCACAGCUUCUUGUCUGUGACUUGACCCUCGGUGGCGUUCAGCAGGUAUAGGUUUUUCUGAAUCAGGAAAAUUAUCAUAUUAGGAUUAGAGUGAAAUGUCUAUCAUCAUCCCAAAACCCAGCAACAUCAGCUGAGAAGAACCAAAUUUGAUCAGAAGUCUUCUCAGGAACAUGUCUUUUACUGGGAUGCCAUGGAUCUGUGCACUUGCCAGUUUGCUGAGGUACUUGUGCUUCUAGGACCAGGACUCACUCCCAGCAGUGUUACAUGUACAUCCUACCACCUCUGCGUUCAUCCACUGGCAAUGUACAUACAGACUGAACCCACAGGCCCUGAAACUUUAAGUGUGUGAGUAUAGGUGGAAGCCAGAAGAUGAGAACAUGUUAGCCACCCUCUAAACAACUCACCCUCUACUUUCCAUGUGGCCUCCACACAGGUGGAGAUAACACCCUGGUGGGUCUUGAUUAGUCAUAAGACAUGGUAUAAGCAGUGUGUUACUGAUAAGAGGCACACUACUGAGUUCACAAAUGAUCUCUUUUUGCAAAAUUAAUUGGAUCAAAUUCAAGGUUAUCCCUAUAAUAAUGUAAAUCUCACUUGCAUUUCACUGUGUUUUCCUGAGCAGAAGAGGAAAGGGUGGGAAAUGGGCAUAAACCUGAAGUGUAAGAAAUUUAUGCUGAAGCCCAUGGUGAACUCUACUGCUGAACCAUUCAGAAAUGUGAUCAUAAAUUAUUUUAAUACUUUACUCUCCCUCAAAUUUGCCCUUGGGAAGUAGGUUGUGUUAAAAUCUUGGUAUGUUCAUGUGUGAGUCUCUGCAUGGAAGAAAAGUCUGAGAACUACAGAAACCUCAAAGAAAUAAAAGUAGUAAGAACUCAAAGAUUCAAAUAAAUGGUAAAAAAGAUGUCAGGGUUUCUUACCAUUCAGUGGUGCACUAAAGCUUGGAAACCUUGAACCUCUGAAGAUUGUAUUUUGAAUUUGUGGCAACUUACUUUAAACCUCUAUGUUAGAGGUUUUGCUCAUGACGUUAAAACUUGGUAAUUUCAGAAAGAGAAACAAUGAACACCUUAGGUCUUGCCAGCCUAUAAGCUUUGACCACACCUGCUUUGCCUCCGCCAUCCUGAAUCCUUCCUAGACUAGUAGAGGCCACUCCCUCGCUUUGCAUUUGGAUGGCAAUUGCCUAUGCUCUUGAAAUAAAUAACAAAGGAGGGGGCAUGCCUGGCAGGCGCCUGUACUGGGAGCCCUUUGAGAAUGAGGACACCUAAGCAGCAGGGGAUAUGCCAUGGGCCCCGCUUCUCUCCUGGGUUUUGGAGGUUCUUGUAGCCAAGAAGUCUGCACAGGGUCGUACUUACUUCCUACAGAUUCUCAGAGCCCCUGAGGUCACUAUCACUCCACAACCCGGACUCAGCAGGUCUGAGAGGCUGCAAGGAAUGGAAGGACAGAAAAGACAAAAGCCUCAAAGGGAAGGCAGAAGAAAGCAAUAUGGCAGGAAAGGGGUGAUGCCUCAGAAAUAGCCUAGGGAAGCAAGAUGUGGGAGACAGGAUGAAAAAACCUAAUGGCAUCAUUAAAGCAGAGAGGUGAGUUGUAGUGCACGCUCAGAAAAGAUCCACUGUCCAUCAUCAGAGAAAUGAGAGCGCUUUAUGUAGAUGUGCACACAUUAACUCAGGGAAGGGGAGAAUACUCACUACAUUUUUAACCCAGGGGAUCUUCAAGUAUGAUUAAAUGGGUACAGGGCAGGAACUUCUAUAUAAUGUUUUAAGUGUUGAUAUUAUAGAUGAUUCUUCUAUUUUUUCACGAUAAUUUCUGAACACAAUUUUUUUAAACAUGGGCAGUUUCUAAAAAUAUAUAUAAGAUUUUUGAGUGAUGAUAAAGGAAGAAAUUCUAAAUUACUCAGGAGGCUGAGGCAGAAAGACAGCUUGAGCCCAGGAAUUUGAGACUGCAGUGAGCUAUAAUUAUGCACCACUGCACUCCAGUCUGGGCUACAAAGCGAGACCCUAACUCAAAAAAAAAAAAGGAAGAAAAGCAAUUGAAGAUAUACUAAGAAGACAGACAUUUGAACUUUGAAAACAUUAUCUUGAAAACUUAGCAAAAGAAUUUGUUCAAAUAAACAGAUUUUUAAAAUUUUCAUUACUUUAAGUAAGCUAUUAGUUCUAAAACAUGUGAAUAGCUCUACAUUAGUUUUCAAAUCUAUGUAAGGUCCUAGCACUAUUUCCUGGCAAGUCAUAUCUGUCUGCCAACAGGCAGGUUUUUGCAUGCAUUCUUUAGCCUACUCUAAAGAUGCUAAGGUUCUGAGCUAGUUUUGCUGUUCAUUGCUCAUUACGAAAACUAUUUUGUUUAGAAAAUUGAGUUUCAUGUUACAAUUGCCCCCAAAAUAAUGUAAUAAAUGUGUAUAUACAAAUCCUUAAUUAAAAUAACUUUUAGAAGAUGUGCUCAUCCUUCAAAAUAAUAGAUUUUACCUUCACAAACACUUGAAGUAUUCUGUUGAGAGGCAACUGGAGUCUAUGUAAAAGACAAAAAGGCAAGGAUAUUCAAUAUAGCAGAAUGUGGAAAUAAAUGUCAGAGCAAUAUUAUUAAAAUAAAUAUUUUGGGAGCACUUU
Non-coding RNA from Macaca mulatta (Rhesus monkey), 3275 nucleotides. NCBI's taxonomy places the organism in Eukaryota, Metazoa, Chordata, Mammalia, Primates, Cercopithecidae. The record is from RefSeq and is a predicted model, not a curated record.